AAAUUGAAGAGUUUGAUCAUGGCUCAGAUUGAACGCUGGCGGCAGGCCUAACACAUGCAAGUCGAGCGGUAGCACAGAGAGCUUGCUCUCGGGUGACGAGCGGCGGACGGGUGAGUAAUGUCUGGGAAACUGCCUGAUGGAGGGGGAUAACUACUGGAAACGGUAGCUAAUACCGCAUAACGUCGCAAGACCAAAGUGGGGGACCUUCGGGCCUCAUGCCAUCAGAUGUGCCCAGAUGGGAUUAGCUAGUAGGUGGGGUAAUGGCUCACCUAGGCGACGAUCCCUAGCUGGUCUGAGAGGAUGACCAGCCACACUGGAACUGAGACACGGUCCAGACUCCUACGGGAGGCAGCAGUGGGGAAUAUUGCACAAUGGGCGCAAGCCUGAUGCAGCCAUGCCGCGUGUGUGAAGAAGGCCUUCGGGUUGUAAAGCACUUUCAGCGGGGAGGAAGGCGAUAAGGUUAAUAACCUUGGCGAUUGACGUUACCCGCAGAAGAAGCACCGGCUAACUCCGUGCCAGCAGCCGCGGUAAUACGGAGGGUGCAAGCGUUAAUCGGAAUUACUGGGCGUAAAGCGCACGCAGGCGGUCUGUCAAGUCGGAUGUGAAAUCCCCGGGCUCAACCUGGGAACUGCAUUCGAAACUGGCAGGCUAGAGUCUUGUAGAGGGGGGUAGAAUUCCAGGUGUAGCGGUGAAAUGCGUAGAGAUCUGGAGGAAUACCGGUGGCGAAGGCGGCCCCCUGGACAAAGACUGACGCUCAGGUGCGAAAGCGUGGGGAGCAAACAGGAUUAGAUACCCUGGUAGUCCACGCCGUAAACGAUGUCGAUUUGGAGGUUGUGCCCUUGAGGCGUGGCUUCCGGAGCUAACGCGUUAAAUCGACCGCCUGGGGAGUACGGCCGCAAGGUUAAAACUCAAAUGAAUUGACGGGGGCCCGCACAAGCGGUGGAGCAUGUGGUUUAAUUCGAUGCAACGCGAAGAACCUUACCUGGUCUUGACAUCCACAGAACUUUCCAGAGAUGGAUUGGUGCCUUCGGGAACUGUGAGACAGGUGCUGCAUGGCUGUCGUCAGCUCGUGUUGUGAAAUGUUGGGUUAAGUCCCGCAACGAGCGCAACCCUUAUCCUUUGUUGCCAGCGGUUAGGCCGGGAACUCAAAGGAGACUGCCAGUGAUAAACUGGAGGAAGGUGGGGAUGACGUCAAGUCAUCAUGGCCCUUACGACCAGGGCUACACACGUGCUACAAUGGCAUAUACAAAGAGAAGCGACCUCGCGAGAGCAAGCGGACCUCAUAAAGUAUGUCGUAGUCCGGAUUGGAGUCUGCAACUCGACUCCAUGAAGUCGGAAUCGCUAGUAAUCGUAGAUCAGAAUGCUACGGUGAAUACGUUCCCGGGCCUUGUACACACCGCCCGUCACACCAUGGGAGUGGGUUGCAAAAGAAGUAGGUAGCUUAACCUUCGGGAGGGCGCUUACCACUUUGUGAUUCAUGACUGGGGUGAAGUCGUAACAAGGUAACCGUAGGGGAACCUGCGGUUGGAUCACCUCCUUACCUUAAAGAA
This 1550-nucleotide ribosomal RNA is filed under the name Klebsiella pneumoniae. RNAcentral describes it as "bacterial SSU rRNA". It matches the Rfam family "Bacterial small subunit ribosomal RNA". Lineage: Bacteria; Pseudomonadati; Pseudomonadota; Gammaproteobacteria; Enterobacterales; Enterobacteriaceae. The record is from RNAcentral.